GUCAACGCGGGGCAAGGACAGGGGUGAAUGAGUGGGGUGCGGUGGUGGGCCGGAAUUCCGGGGCGUAAAGAGUUCGGGGGGGGUUGGUGGCGGUGUUCGUGAAAAAUCACAGCUGAACGGUGGGCGUUCGGGCGAUACGGGCAGACUGGAGUACUGCAGGGGAGACUGGAAUUCCUGGUGUAGCGGUGGAAUGCGCAGAUAUCAGGAGGAACACCGGUGGCGAAGGCGGGUCUCUGGGCAGUAACUGACGCUGAGGAGCGAAAGCGUGGGGAGCGAACAGGAUUAGAUACCCCAGUAGUC
RNAcentral lists this ribosomal RNA (300 nucleotides) under uncultured Bacillus sp. RNAcentral describes it as "bacterial SSU rRNA". The stretch from base 52 to 300 matches the Rfam family "Bacterial small subunit ribosomal RNA", at positions 547 to 795 of the family's 1533-position model. Lineage: Bacteria; Bacillati; Bacillota; Bacilli; Caryophanales; Bacillaceae. The record is from RNAcentral.